Molecule: unclassified non-coding RNA, 292 nt
Filed under: plant metagenome
Description: partial contains small subunit ribosomal RNA, internal transcribed spacer 1, and 5.8S ribosomal RNA
Rfam family: 5.8S ribosomal RNA (bases 244-292)
Source: RNAcentral
UUUCCGUAGGUGAACCUGCGGAAGGAUCAUUAAUGAGUUGUCAUGGGGUUCGAUGCUGGCAGCCAGUUUUUGGAUGCAUGUGCUUGCCCUAACAAUCAUCUUCUUCCAAACACCUGUGCACAUUCUUGAGGGAGUCUUGAGUUGGUUGCCGCUCUUGGGUGAUUUUCUCACAUUCCCUUAAAUCAUUAUACGCUAUUAACAAUGUUGAACGUGCUCUGUGCCGCAAGGCCAUUAAUAUAAUACAACUUUUAACAACGGAUCUCUUGGCUCUCGCAUCGAUGAAGAACGCAGU